Molecule: non-coding RNA, 2359 nt
Organism: Peromyscus maniculatus bairdii (prairie deer mouse)
Lineage: Eukaryota; Metazoa; Chordata; Mammalia; Rodentia; Cricetidae
Source: RefSeq, a predicted model, not a curated record
GGUGUGCGUGCACGCUACUUGUGGUUGCACCACGCCCCUGCAGUGAAUGUUGCAUCUUAAAGCAUCACUCCGGUUGUGGCGAUCGCCAGGGUGUGUGCAGGCUGCUGGCUGGGAGCACCUAGUUAACCUGCAAUGAGAUUUCCAGCUGGGGUGAUGGGUAGGCUGCAUGGGCACAGGGGGCUGAUUUAGCCACCUCCAGGGAUCCUCCCUCCACCCUCUCUCUGGCCGUGCCUGUCCCUGGAAGAGGCUCUCUGAGUACCCUCUGUUGCCCAGCCUGUGAAAUCACCAAUGCCUGGAGUCUGGUGGUCUCUUUUGUCUUCUCCUUGUCUGAGGAUCAUGGCAGGCAUGCCGGCUCAUCAGAUGCGUCCCUUUUGUGUGUUUCCUAGCUGGUUUUAGGAGCUCAGCCGUCUCUUCUGCCUCCACACAGCUUGACUGCUCUGGCUUUAGAGUCUUGGGAUUUUGCUGUUAGUGUCAGAAGUGGGCGUAAUUAUUUCUUCCUGAUGAUCUUCCUUUUUCUAGGGAGACAGGUGGGACCCCUGGGGCUUGCUGGGCCAGUCAGCCUAGCCUAAUCAGGGAGUUCCGGGGCUUGAAGAGACGACGUCUCAAACACCAAGGGCAGUGCCUGAGGAAUGGCGUCCAAAGGUUGUCUUCUAGCCUCCACAUGUAUGUGUGAAUAAAUGCGUGUCCACGCACAGGAACACCCACACAUGUAUACAUGCAUAAAUGCUAAAAAAAAAUUGAAAAAGAUAAUUACACAUUUAACUGUGGAUUUGCGGAGCGGGGCUCUCUUCUCCUCGGCUGAGAAAGCACAAAGCGUCUGUUUCUCCCCUUGUUGUUCUGUGGCUGAGGGCUUGGCAGGUUGAGAUGCUCUGUGACGAGAAGCGAUUUCAUAGCCUGUCAUGUACGAUGCACAGAAAAGGAGACCUGAUUGCCAUGAGUCUCUAAGGGCCUCAAGAGCCAGAUCUGGGGCCAGAGGUUUCACGGCCUUAGAAUCUGAAAGCAAAUCAGGCUUUCAGAGAAAAGAGGACUCGCAAGCAAGCCUGUCGAGAGCUUCCUGGGACCCACGGCAGCAAAUGCCGCCAUUUGGCGUUGAUCAUUCCUUGACCAGAUGCUGAUUCCCCAGGGGGUUCCACUGCAUCUGCUUUCCUGAGCUCUGGAUCAACAGUACCGGGAAGGCUUGCUCCAGAAGGUUCAAGCCCAUUCUCUGGUUUCCUCUGCCAUUCAUUCCAUCAUCAGAACAUAGUGACAGGCCACGCCCUGCCCCCCACUCCAGGUUCACUUUUUUGGUUACCAGCUGGAAUUGGCCAACCGGAGAUAACUGGAAUUGGCCGACUGAAGAUGGCUUUAUACAUUCAGCUUUUAAACACAACACUUACGACUCCCUGAGUCACCCAGCCUGGAACAUUUUAACCUCUAGAAGUAUAUCACACAACCCACAUCUUCCUCUGGAGGCUGAGGCAGUCAGUUCAGGCAUCCCAACGCUCAGCGUCUUCUCGUUCUGGCUUUCGGAGGGAAGAAAAUACCCAAACAAAAAGAACUGUUUUAGGCAUUUGACCAAAAUAUUACUCUAGACAAAAGAAUCUGAGUUUGUCAUCACUGGAGACAGUCUUUAAACUAUAAUAAAUGAACUGCCAUUGCCUGCUGUUUCUUGAUAGCAUGGACCACAAAAAAAGAUGAAAUAGAAGCAAAAACAAAACAAAAAAAAAGGACUAAUCCAUUUGAGUCCAAAUAAUGAAAAGUGUCUACUUUCACACAAUGUCAUUUUCUCAUUGUUAAAGGCUUGAGAUAAAUUAAGUGGAAAAUUCUAGAGACAAUUCCUAAGGUUUAAAGUGCAUGCAAUUCUGAGCGUCAUGAAUCACAUGCCAACCUAGGGGAGAAAGGGCUUGUUAAUCUUACAAUUCCAGGCUACAGUCUGUCAUUUCAGGAAAGUCAAGGCAGCCUGCCGAGGGCAGAAAGAGUAUGGAUGCAUGUGUGCCCACUGCUCGGCUCCCUUUCCCACCGCUGACAUGAUUCAGGACCCAUAAAGGGAACGGUGAUACCCACAUUCAGCAUGGGUCACCCCAGCUCAAUGAUCCCACUUAAAGGAAGUCCCUCACAGGUAUGCCCAGAGACUGACCUCAUCUAGUAAUUCCUCACCGAGACUCUUGGAAGGUGAUUGCACAUUGUGUCAAGUUGACAACUAAACUACGGACCUUGAGGGACUUGUGGGAAGGUGUCUCUGACACGCACGUAAUACGACUGACCGAGAAAGCUCCAGUCAGUGGGAAGUUGUGGUUGGCUCUGGUGAUUUAUGCUAAACAGAAUAAACUGUGAUGGAAACAUAAAAUACUUUUAAGCUUACGCUCCUCUUACUCAAUAC